CUUCUCGAUGAGGAAUAUCGGGUUUGGCAGCUUUGAUUCGCUGUAUUUCCUCCUUCAUGAAGCGAUUGUAAGCAGACGGAAGCCUGUGUUUCUUCUCAGGAGGCUUGACAACAAACGGGGCCUUUGGGAUCAUUUGUUCACUGGAUGUAGAUGAAGAUGUAGGCAUUUGUGACGUUGGCAGAUGCUUCCUACAGUCAUUGCAGUGGCCCUGAAAAUUUAUGUGUUGGUCUGGGGUGAGUGGCUGAACCAAAGGUCUAGGGUUGAUGAAGGAGAUAUGGUUGCAGUGACCACACUUCACUGUCACCGUAUCCAUCAAUCGCUUGCAUGGUACUCCAACCGCAAGAACAGUGUUGCAGUAGGUGCAACGAACGUAGCAGAGGUGGUCGGAGGGGGAGACGAG
RNAcentral lists this unclassified non-coding RNA (400 nucleotides) under Hevea brasiliensis (rubber tree). The record is from RNAcentral. Lineage: Eukaryota; Viridiplantae; Streptophyta; Magnoliopsida; Malpighiales; Euphorbiaceae.